Molecule: ribosomal RNA, 432 nt
Filed under: uncultured bacterium
Lineage: Bacteria
Description: partial 16S ribosomal RNA
Rfam family: Bacterial small subunit ribosomal RNA
Source: RNAcentral
GCGAGCGCUGGCGGCAGGCCUAACACAUGCAAGUCGAACGAACUCUUCGGAGUUAGUGGCGGACGGGUGAGUAACACGUGGGAACGUGCCUUUUGGUUCGGAAUAACUCAGGGAAACUUGUGCUAAUACCGAAUGUGCCCUUCGGGGGAAAGAUUUAUCGCCAUUAGAGCGGCCCGCGUCUGAUUAGCUAGUUGGUGAGGUAACGGCUCACCAAGGCGACGAUCAGUAGCUGGUCUGAGAGGAUGACCAGCCACACUGGGACUGAGACACGGCCCAGACUCCUACGGGAGGCAGCAGUGGGGAAUCUUGCGCAAUGGGCGAAAGCCUGACGCAGCCAUGCCGCGUGAAUGAUGAAGGUCUUAGGAUUGUAAAAUUCUUUCACCGGGGACGAUAAUGACGGUACCCGGAGAAGAAGCCCCGGCUAACUUCGUG